Molecule: long non-coding RNA, 1160 nt
Organism: Brachypodium distachyon (stiff brome)
Lineage: Eukaryota; Viridiplantae; Streptophyta; Magnoliopsida; Poales; Poaceae
Exons: 3
Source: RefSeq, a predicted model, not a curated record
CAGCUUUCUUACCCGUGUGUGUGUGCUGUGUCCUUGUUUUCUCCGUUGAGAGUGGGCACGCACAGCACAGCAGCAACACCUCCAGGCUCCAAUGGCGUCCUCCUACAAGAUGAAGGGAUGGUGUCUUUGGAGGCAUAGAAACUCGGUGGUCUUUGAUGGAGCGCCUCCUAGAAUCGAUCAGGUUCUUCGGGUUAUUAGAAGAGAGGGCAGUGCUUGGGCUAAGGUGGCGCUUUUCAAAGGGGCUAACUUUGGGUUUGGUAGCUUUGUGGUUUCGUGGUGGGUUGUAAGUGAGUAGUCGCUUGUUUGUGGCCUAUGGGCUUGUAACCGCGUCGCGGUAACUCCUUCUUCAAUAUAUAAUACACAUACUGUGUAUUCUAGAAAAAAAAAAGGGAUCUUCGAGAGCUUCAAGAUCAUAUCGCAGAUCUUCGGUGAGCAGAAAUAGCUCCGGUGUUUCAGUUUCUGAAUUCGACUGUACUGGUGAAGAGAACAGGACAGGGACAGGGACAGUGCAGUGCAGUUCAGGGCCUCCUGAUCUUUGCUCGUUUAUCUGAAUUGUUCGAUUGUUGCAUUGCAGCGGCCAAGGAGGAGCAGGGGAUGGAGAUCGGCUCCCCAACGGACGUGAAGCACGUCGCGCACAUCGGCUGGAACAGCUCGACGCUGCCGCCGGCAACCAAAGGGUUUUCUUCGUAGAUGGAUGGCUCAGCCCUGGGAAUAUCAUGCGAUUUUUCGUCUCUGGGCAACUUGGCGCCGUCGGCAGCGGCGGCAACCUCCUGGGCUUCUUCCCAAGCAUGGAAGGCAUUCAACUGUCUUGACGGGAAACGGGUCGCAUGCAGCUGUUCGUGGUGUUGGUACGGUCGAUCUGAAGUUUACUUCGGGGAAGAUCGUGCGGCUAAGGAACGUGAUGCAUGUCCCCUCCAUGAACAAGAAUCUCGUUAGCGGUUCCCUUUUAUGCAGAGAAGGUUUUAAGGUAGUUUUAGAGUCUAAUAAAGUAGUUGUGUCUAAACAUGGAAAAUUUAUUGGUAAAGGUUAUGAGUGCGGAGGCUUGUUCCGUUUUUCCCUUUCUGAUUUUAGUGAUAUGUCAGUAUUUAGGUCGGAUCGUGGUGGCGAGCAUUUCUCCAAUGUAUUUGAUGAGUUUUGUGCAGAACAUGGUAUUAUUCACG